AUUUAAAUAACUUAAGAAGUAGAGUGUUAUAUUGAAGAUAUAAAAGUGAUUUUAAUUAUAAUCUUUAAAUA
RNAcentral lists this transfer RNA (71 nucleotides) under Hydropsyche pellucidula. RNAcentral's name for it is "tRNA-Phe". Lineage: Eukaryota; Metazoa; Arthropoda; Insecta; Trichoptera; Hydropsychidae. The record is from RNAcentral.